Molecule: ribosomal RNA, 277 nt
Filed under: uncultured bacterium
Lineage: Bacteria
Description: partial 16S ribosomal RNA
Rfam family: Bacterial small subunit ribosomal RNA
Source: RNAcentral
CAUUCCUACGGGGGGCAGCAGUGGGGGAUAUUGCACAAUGGGGGGAACCCUGAUGCAGCGACGCCGCGUGGGUGAAGGAGUGCUUCGGCAUGUAAAGCCCUAUCGGCAGGGAAGAAGCAAGACGGUACCUGACUAAGAAGCCCCGGCUAACUACGUGCCAGCAGCCGCGGUAAUACGUAGGGGGCAAGCGUUAUCCGGAUUUACUGGGUGUAAAGGGAGCGUAGACGGCUGUGCAAGUCUGAAGUGAAAGCCCGUGGCUCAACCGCGGAACUGCUUU